This 135-nucleotide ribosomal RNA is filed under the name uncultured bacterium. RNAcentral's name for it is "partial 16S ribosomal RNA". The record is from RNAcentral.
CACGAAGUUAGCCGGAGCUUCUUCUGCGGGUACCGUCAUUAUCGUCCCCGCCGAAAGAGUUUUACAACCCUAGGGCCUUCAUCACUCACGCGGCAUGGCUGGUUCAGACUUGCAUCCAUUGACCAAUAUUCCCUA